UGAGGAAUCUUCCACAAUGGGGGCAACCCUGAUGGAGCAACGCCGCGUGCAGGAUGAAGGCCUUAGGGUUGUAAACUGCUUUUAUAAGUGAAGAAUAUGACGGUAACUUAUGAAUAAGGAUCGGCUAACUACGUGCCAGCAGCCGCGGUCAUACGUAGGAUCCGAGCGUUAUCCGGAGUGACUGGGCGUAAAGAGUUGCGUAGGUGGUCAGUAAAGCGAAUAGUGAAAUCUGGUGGCUCAACCAUACAGGCUAUUAUUCGAACUCGCUGACUCGAGAAUGGUAGAGGUAACUGGAAUUUCUUGUGUAGGAGUGAAAUCCGUAGAUAUAAGAAGGAACACCAAUGGCGUAGGCAGGUUACUGGACCAUUGCUGACACUAAGGCACGAAAGCGUGGGGAGCGAACC
Molecule: ribosomal RNA, 404 nt
Filed under: uncultured Candidatus Saccharibacteria bacterium
Lineage: Bacteria; Candidatus Saccharimonadota
Description: bacterial SSU rRNA
Rfam family: Bacterial small subunit ribosomal RNA
Source: RNAcentral